Molecule: long non-coding RNA, 834 nt
Organism: Acanthopagrus latus (yellowfin seabream)
Lineage: Eukaryota; Metazoa; Chordata; Actinopteri; Spariformes; Sparidae
Exons: 3
Source: RefSeq, a predicted model, not a curated record
UCUGAAUCCACUGCAAUCAGCCCACAGGGAUUUUGAUUUUCAGCUAAAAAUGAAAAGAUGGCAAGAGCCAAAUAAUGGGAGAGCUGAAAUCUCAGCGGCCUUCAGUCAGGGCAGAUGGUGAAAUUUCAUUUUAGAGGCAAUAUCUCCCCUCAGUCAUGGCGCGGUUUUAUGGAAUGAGUGGCUCCACUGUGUUUAACGCAUCAUUUCCCUCCUCAUUAGAUUAGAUCUCCUCAUAUUGACAGGAAACCUGCCAUGCAGCUUCAGCCUCUGAGGAAGGAGAAAAACAACACUUGGAAAUGGCGCAGGCAGUGUCAACAUGUCUGCCUGGAUGCCUCCGUGGAUGUAUUGUUUUCAUUAUGUCACCGCGGCUUAAAAAUGCAAUCUGGAAUUUAUUUGGCCAUUUCAGGUUUUGCUGUAGUCAAAUAUGACUUUGGCUGAAUAAUGGGCUCAUAAGAAUUUUUGUUUAAAAUCACUAUGGGGUGGCACCAGCAAAUGUCAACAGGCUGUUAGACACCUAGUACCUUCAUGUCAGAACUGUUAAACUGUUGUAUAAGAGAAAAAAAAAAGACUAUUACAAUGACACAAUGUGAAAUAUUCUUUUAUUUUAAAGGGGCACUUUUUAAAAACAAAUAUUGCUGAUUAACUUUUAGCCAUGAAAUUGUUUGGUUCAUUACUCUAGUCCAGACUUAAGUGACUCCACUAUGGAUCUUUUUCACAGCAGACAUUUUGACUGGUAAUUGCAGGAAAAGCAUGGCUGAAACAAAUUCUGUUGACAAUCGUCAACCCAAUCACUGGAAUAAAUGUUGGAAAUAAAGAUGAAGUUGUUUCAGUAAA